CAUUCACCAUUGUUGUUCUUUCUUUUGACAGGUCCUUUGCUACCCUUUGAGCACAGCCCAGACCUUUGAGAAUACCAAGAUGAAGACAAAGAAUAAUUCCAAUGAGUAUUUCAGAGAUUUUGCUGUCAGAUGCUUUUCUGCUUUCACACAGGCUCAAUCCUGACAUGACUGUUGACUUCAGUGAAGCCCUUGAUGGCAGAGGGACUCAGUGCUGGUCUGAAACCUCAAGUUACAGAAGCCCAGUGGGAAGAGAGGAAGAGUUAAAUGGAUGGGGAGAAGCUGGCACUGUUCAUAAGUAGAAGAUUCUGAGGCGUGACUUCAGAGAUUGGAGAAAUGUCUGUGGCAUACUUUUCACCGAGGCAAGUGGUGAGCUGCUCUGGCUGUAGCAGAAGCAGUUUCACAAUACUCAUGGAACAGGAAUAGCACCAGAGGGAACAGUGAGGCAGGU
This 448-nucleotide long non-coding RNA is filed under the name Serinus canaria (Common canary). RNAcentral's name for it is "lncRNA (ENSSCAG00000001533.1)". The record is from RNAcentral. Lineage: Eukaryota; Metazoa; Chordata; Aves; Passeriformes; Fringillidae.